CUCCUGGUAUUGAUUGGUGCUUGCAUCAUGAUUUACAUUUGAGUGAGUGGCGAACUGGUGAGUAACACGUGGGAAACCUGCCCAGAAGCGGGGGAUAACACCUGGAAACAGAUGCUAAUACCGCAUAACAACUUGGACCGCAUGGUCCGAGUUUGAAAGAUGGCUUCGGCUAUCACUUUUGGAUGGUCCCGCGGCGUAUUAGCUAGAUGGUGGGGUAACGGCUCACCAUGGCAAUGAUACGUAGCCGACCUGAGAGGGUAAUCGGCCACAUUGGGACUGAGACACGGCCCAAACUCCUACGGGAGGCAGCAGUAGGGAAUCUUCCACAAUGGACGAAAGUCUGAUGGAGCAACGCCGCGUGAGUGAAGAAGGGUUUCGGCUCGUAAAACUCUGUUGUUAAAGAAGAACAUAUCUGAGAGUAACUGUUCAGGUAUUGACGGUAUUUAACCAGAAAGCCACGGCUAACUACGUGCCAGCAGCCGCGGUAAUACGUAGGUGGCAAGCGUUGUCCGGAUUUAUUGGGCGUAAAGCGAGCGCAGGCGGUUUUUUAAGUCUGAUGUGAAAGCCUUCGGCUCAACCGAAGAAGUGCAUCGGAAACUGGGAAACUUGAGUGCAGAAGAGGACAGUGGAACUCCAUGUGUAGCGGUGAAAUGCGUAGAUAUAUGGAAGAACACCAGUGGCGAAGGCGGCUGUCUGGUCUGUAACUGACGCUGAGGCUCGAAAGUAUGGGUAGCAAACAGGAUUAGAUACCCUGGUAGUCCAUACCGUAAACGAUGAAUGCUAAGUGUUGGAGGGUUUCCGCCCUUCAGUGCUGCAGCUAACGCAUUAAGCAUUCCGCCUGGGGAGUACGGCCGCAAGGCUGAAACUCAAAGGAAUUGACGGGGGCCCGCACAAGCGGUGGAGCAUGUGGUUUAAUUCGAAGCUACGCGAAGAACCUUACCAGGUCUUGACAUACUAUGCAAAUCUAAGAGAUUAGACGUUCCCUUCGGGGACAUGGAUACAGGUGGUGCAUGGUUGUCGUCAGCUCGUGUC
Molecule: ribosomal RNA, 1032 nt
Filed under: Lactiplantibacillus plantarum
Lineage: Bacteria; Bacillati; Bacillota; Bacilli; Lactobacillales; Lactobacillaceae
Description: bacterial SSU rRNA
Rfam family: Bacterial small subunit ribosomal RNA
Source: RNAcentral